RNAcentral lists this ribosomal RNA (451 nucleotides) under uncultured cyanobacterium. Its description in RNAcentral is "bacterial SSU rRNA". It matches the Rfam family "Bacterial small subunit ribosomal RNA", at positions 28 to 524 of the family's 1533-position model. The record is from RNAcentral. Lineage: Bacteria; Bacillati; Cyanobacteriota.
GAUGAACGCUGGCGGUAUGCUUAACACAUGCAAGUCGAACGGUCACUUCGGUGAUAGUGGCGGACGGGUGAGUAGCGCGUGAGAAUCUGUCUUCAGGUCGGGGACAACAGUUAGAAAUGACUGCUAAUACCGGAUAUGCCUUAUGGUGAAAGAUUUAUUGCCUGAAAAAGAGCUCGCGUCAGAUUAGCUAGUAGGUGGUGUAAGAGACUACCUAGGCGACGAUCUGUAGCUGGUCUGAGAGGACGAUCAGCCACACUGGAACUGAGACACGGUCCAGACUCCUACGGGAGGCAGCAGUGGGGAAUUUUCCGCAAUGGGCGAAAGCCUGACGGAGCAAUACCGCGUGAGGGACGAAGGCUUUUUGGGUCGUAAACCUCUUUUUCUCAAGGAAGAUAAUGACGGUACUUGAGGAAUAAGCAUCGGCUAACUCUGUGCCAGCAGCCGCGGUAAU